AGUGAACGCUGGCGGUAGGCCUAACACAUGCAAGUCGAACGGCAGCACAGUAAGAGCUUGCUCUUACGGGUGGCGAGUGGCGGACGGGUGAGGAAUACAUCGGAAUCUACUUUUUCGUGGGGGAUAACGUAGGGAAACUUACGCUAAUACCGCAUACGACCUACGGGUGAAAGCAGGGGAUCUUCGGGCCUUUCGCGAUUGAAUGAGCCGAUGUCGGAUUAGCUAGUUGGCGGGGUAAAGGCCCACCAAGGCGACGAUCCGUAGCUGGUCUGAGAGGAUGAUCAGCCACACUGGAACUGAGACACGGUCCAGACUCCUACGGGAGGCAGCAGUGGGGAAUAUUGGACAAUGGGCGCAAGCCUGAUCCAGCCAUACCGCGUGGGUGAAGAAGGCCUUCGGGUUGUAAAGCCCUUUUGUUGGGAAAGAAAAGCAGCAGGUUAAUACCCCGCUGUUCUGACGGUACCCAAAGAAUAAGCACCGGCUAACUUCGUG
RNAcentral lists this ribosomal RNA (492 nucleotides) under uncultured bacterium. Its description in RNAcentral is "partial 16S ribosomal RNA". It matches the Rfam family "Bacterial small subunit ribosomal RNA", at positions 29 to 507 of the family's 1533-position model. The record is from RNAcentral.